CCUACGGGAGACAGCAGUGAGGAAUAUUGGUCAAUGGGAGAGAUCCUGAACCAGCCAAGCCGCGUGAGGGAAGACGGCCCUAUGGGUUGUAAACCUCUUUUGUCGGAGAACAAAACCCGGGACGUGUCCCGGACUGCGUGUAUCCGAAGAAAAAGCAUCGGCUAACUCCGUGCCAGCAGCCGCGGUAAUACGGAGGAUGCGAGCGUUAUCCGGAUUUAUUGGGUUUAAAGGGUGCGUAGGCGGUCCGUUAAGUCAGCGGUAAAAUUGCGGGGCUCAACCCCGUCGAGCCGUUGAAACUGGCAGACUUGAGUUGGCGAGAAGUACGCGGAAUGCGCGGUGUAGCGGUGAAAUGCUUAGAGAUCAUACAGAACACCGAUUGCGAAGGCAGCUUACCAAGCUACUUCUGACGUUGAGGCACGAAAGCGUGGGGAGCAAACAGGAUUAGAUACCCGAGUAGUC
Molecule: ribosomal RNA, 459 nt
Filed under: uncultured bacterium
Lineage: Bacteria
Description: partial 16S ribosomal RNA
Rfam family: Bacterial small subunit ribosomal RNA
Source: RNAcentral